This 468-nucleotide ribosomal RNA is filed under the name uncultured bacterium. RNAcentral describes it as "partial 16S ribosomal RNA". It matches the Rfam family "Bacterial small subunit ribosomal RNA", at positions 28 to 507 of the family's 1533-position model. The record is from RNAcentral.
GACGAACGCUGGCGGCGUGCUUAACACAUGCAAGUCGAACGGAAAGGCCCUGCUUUUGUGGGGUGCUCGAGUGGCGAACGGGUGAGUAACACGUGAGUAACCUGCCCUUGACUUUGGGAUAACUUCAGGAAACUGGGGCUAAUACCGGAUAGGAGCUCCUGCUGCAUGGUGGGGGUUGGAAAGUUUCGGCGGUUGGGGAUGGACUCGCGGCUUAUCAGCUUGUUGGUGGGGUAGUGGCUUACCAAGGCUUUGACGGGUAGCCGGCCUGAGAGGGUGACCGGCGACAUGACUACUACGAUACGGACCAGACUCCUACGGGCGGCAACGGUCGGGAACAUUACACAGCAGGGCGACGCGAGUGGCAGCGGCGCCGGGUGCGUGAUGCCCUCCUACGAGUUGUGAACCGCUUUCGCCUGUAACGAAGCGUGAGUGACGGUAAUGGAUAAAAAAGCACCGGCUAACUACGUG